This 497-nucleotide ribosomal RNA is filed under the name uncultured bacterium. RNAcentral describes it as "partial 16S ribosomal RNA". It matches the Rfam family "Bacterial small subunit ribosomal RNA", at positions 28 to 507 of the family's 1533-position model. The record is from RNAcentral.
GAUGAACGCUGGCGGCGUGCCUAAUACAUGCAAGUCGAGCGAACAGAUGAGGAGCUUGCUCCUCUGACGUUAGCGGCGGACGGGUGAGUAACACGUGGAUAACCUACCUAUAAGACUGGGAUAACUUCGGGAAACCGGAGCUAAUACCGGAUAAUAUAUUCAACCGCAUGGUUCAAUAGUGAAAGACGGCUUUGCUGUCACUUAUAGAUGGUUCCGCGCCGCAUUAGCUAGUUGGUAAGGUAACGGCUUACCAAGGCAACGAUGCGUAGCCGACCUGAGAGGGUGAUCGGCCACACUGGAACUGAGACACGGUCCAGACUCCUACGGGAGGCAGCAGUAGGGAAUCUUCCGCAAUGGGCGAAAGCCUGACGGAGCAACGCCGCGUGAGUGAUGAAGGUCUUCGGAUCGUAAAACUCUGUUAUUAGGGAAGAACAAAUGUGUAAGUAACUAUGCACGUCUUGACGGUACCUAAUCAGAAAGCCACGGCUAACUACGUG